RNAcentral lists this transfer RNA (86 nucleotides) under Daphnia magna. It matches the Rfam family "tRNA". Rfam says of the family: Transfer RNA (tRNA) molecules are approximately 80 nucleotides in length. Their secondary structure includes four short double-helical elements and three loops (D, anti-codon, and T loops). Lineage: Eukaryota; Metazoa; Arthropoda; Branchiopoda; Diplostraca; Daphniidae. The record is from Rfam by way of RNAcentral.
GCAUCGAUGGUUCAGUGGUAGAAUGCUCGCCUGCCAAACAGUUAAGCAGAACGCGGGCGGCCCGGGUUCGAUUCCCGGUCGAUGCA